Struthio camelus australis is the source of this 6405-nucleotide non-coding RNA. The record is from RefSeq and is a predicted model, not a curated record. NCBI's taxonomy places the organism in Eukaryota, Metazoa, Chordata, Aves, Struthioniformes, Struthionidae.
CCCUAAUGCUAGUAAAGCCCAUUCACCCAGCUGCCCCCUCUUUUCCUGGCCUGCAGCCCCUCUGCCUGCUUCAGAGGAACCAGGCGGGAAGGCUAGGUGUGAAAUCUUGCCCCGCGCACCACGUUGUGCUGCCAGGCUGUUUGUUCGUGUGUGAAGUGUGCUGGGAGGAGGAAAUGUCAGUUACCUACAGCGGGGAGGUUUGGAGUCGAGCGCUGCCAUGGAGCAGGCCACGGUGACAGGACUGCAUGGGAAAUGUGCUGGGCAAGCUGCUGGUGGGAGAUACCAACGCGGGGCUGUCCCCAGGCGCAGCUGCGGUGGUGGCCUGGGACAUGCUGCAGUCACUGCCAGCCUCUGUGGGCGAGCGGCCCGUCUCCCUUCCCUCUGCCCUCACCCCUCCCCUGGCUCUGGCAGCAGGAGGCCGCUGUAGUGGCAGUAACGCUGGCUCCUGGGGCUGGGAAGGCUGGUCCCAGUGGGGUUUGCCUAUCAGUUUCUUUCCUGGCAGAAGAAGGAAGGGGCUCUCAGAGCCCACAGGGGCCUGAGGGGUGAUCUCUAUGUGAGCAAAGCAGGGCUCUGUGCUGUCAGGGAGAGGAGGUGGCUUCUGCUUCUGCCCCACUUUCACAUCCUUGGAGGACGCAGCUGUCUCGCACCUCACGCUUAUGUUGGGGCAUUUUCCUCUGGGCUUUCUGGCUCUCAUGGCCUUUUUCUGGGAGUGUUUCUGUUGGUGUAAAUACGCCUAUCAAGCCUUUUUAGCAGAAAAGACCUUUUAAAUUCCUUGUUCAGUAUCAUACUUUCGCAUAGCUCUAAAUACAAAUGUUAUCAAAUAAUUCUAGUGACUGGUAAUGGCCUAGAAGUAUCUUCUUGGUUUUUGACAUGCCGUUCUGGUUGUGCAGCAAUAACAUUCCCUUGUUGGCAUCAAUAGAGCAGAUAGUUGGAUAACAUUAACAAUUAAUAGACACCAAAGGAGUCACAUUCAUUUUUCCAUGGGAGGGAGGUUGAUAGCUGUGGCACGGGUGCAAAAGCAAAUAGAGAAGAGAAAGAUUCUCAGGAAAGUCACAGGAUAGAGAUGUGACUAUCCAACAGAAAGGAAAAUAACGUUUUUUGUAUUGCAGAUUAGUUUUUGUUGUGUUUUAUUUUAUUAAAAACUAGGCUUGAUAACUAAAAUCCUCUACUCACUGAUCCCCCUGCUAUGUUGAUCUGAAAGGUUCAGCUUAUCCAGAUUUCAGUAAGCCUUUUAUUAGAACCAGGCCAGCUCAGCACUUAACUCACAUUUUUUCAGUUUCUGUGCUGAUUUAGGAUAGCUUUUUUUCUAGAAGGUUAAGAUUUUGCUCAUGACCUGUAAGAGGCCACGUUCAUUAUCUGUCUCCAUAAUCUCAUACUAGAGCUUCUCUAGUUUUCUGAUCUUUGCCUGUAGUAUUCAAAAUUGAAGUUUGCUGUGAAGCUUUAGCCCUGGUGAUUGAUAAGAAAACAAUCUAAAUUUGAACCUAACACCUAAAUGUGACUGUCCUAGGUAGUCCUUGGAGAGAGAGAAAAGAUGUGGAUUGAUCUUCUUCAUCUCAGCAGUGUAAUGCUGAAACCUAGUAAUAAACACAUUGUUAAACUGCUGACAAAUGCAGCUAGUCUAGGAUGGUUUACCAAAUCUUGGAAUUUCAAAAAGAGAUUUAGUGGAAGAUGACUGCUUUUAUUUUUGCAGUCUGUCUUGCUUUAAAUGUCCUAGCUGUACAGCUUCCAUUCUAGAAACUUCUGACUAGUUAUUGGUACUUGUUUAAGCAGAAUCUCUUUGGGGCUGACAUUCUCUUACUUUAUCUGCAUACUGGGUUGCUGUCUCUUCUCAAAAGGUGAAUACUGUUUGUUUUCAUGCUUUCAAAUUGAGGACCUGUGCAAGAUCUGUUACCUGAGUCUCUAUAAGGAGCGCGUUGCUCAGCAUGUUUAAAAAUGCAUGUAUAUUGAUAAGUCAGAGUUACAGUAUAUUUGAUCCUGACAUAAAACCAAAGUGCUUUUCAAACUCUGUAUAUAUAUAUAUAAACUUUACAAACAUAAUGAGAUUAUUUUCAGUAACACUGUAGCAGUUUUUUUAGAGUGGAAUUUGGUAGUCACCUGAAGUCAACGACAUUACAUAACUGUUUUAGGGAGGGAAAGGAAGAACAAUCUAUCCUUUUUAGCCUUCAGGGGAAUUUUGAGUGCGCCAAAUAUAAUUACUCUAAUUGGAAUUUAUCCAGGAAUCUAGAAUUAACCACCCUUCUCUCACGACAAAUAUAACAGGAUCAUGUGAUGAUCAUGAGUUUCAGUUUAAAAGUACUGAAAGACUGAAUGAAAAGCCAUUAUUUAAUGCGUGCUGUUGUUUAUCUUUCUCAGUUCUCUUUCACAGCCAUUGUGUCGCUGUCUUCUGCCCACCCUGUGCACUAUUUUAGAGCUAAACACAACAAAAGCUUUUUUUGACUGUGACUUGCACGUUAAGCUGGGGGAUUUUGGGAACUCUGUGACUGCUCUGUGUUAAUGGAGUUCAUAUGUAGCAGCAUUAAAAUUUAUAUAUGGACCAUAACACUAGUGAAACCUUAUUUUUAAACAAAAUAACUUAAAAUCUAGAAAUGUACAAUAUGUAAUUCAGUUAUCCGUAUUUCUGUCUCCUCCCCUCUCCCAUAGAAAAGCCUGCAGUAAUGCUCUAUUUUAUCUACAGAUAUCCGUAUGAAAAAUAUCAGUGUUAGUAAUGCGUUAUAUGGAAAAUCUAGUUUGUACAGUUUUAACAGCUGAAGUAUAUAUGAUCUAGAAAAGAUGUGGUCAUAACACAAUCAAAUCUCUAUAUGUACAUAACAGUCUCUCCCUAAUUCCUCCAAAUAAUUACAUUCUGCAACUACAGUCCAUAUUCUGUGUACAUUUUGUUUUAUAGAUAGAGGGUAACCUGUUUACCUGAAUGACAUUGACAUUUUCAUCUCUCCCAUGCAAACUUCUUUGUCUGCAAUGCCUGCAGUGUAGGUUUUACUAGGCAGACGUUGCUGUGCAGCACAGCCUUUUAAGGGAGAACUAUCUGUUCUGGUUUUGUGCUCUUUACUAAACACGAUGUUGUAGAUGGAACCACAGUAAUUAACUGGAAUUCUUUUUUCAAAGUUCGAUGAGCAAAAUUCUUAUGUUUCUCCUGCAUAUUGCUGUUGCCGCUCAAAGGUAAUGCUUUUGGUAUAUAAUAACUACCAUAAUCUGUGGGAACCUUGUGAGCAUAGCUUUGUUUUGUCCACCUUUAAUAAGUGCACAGGCAGGAGAAAAGAUGCCCACCCCUCUCUGUGGAUUGGUGCUCUGGCUCUUGAGGAGUGGUUUGCUCUCGCUUGUCAUUUAGCCUGUACUGAACAGGUCAACCAACACUGGAUGAGAUUAUCUGAGAAGUGUACUGGGCUGCAAAAUAGAAGGAUAAAGUUCUUUAAAAGGCGUCAUUGCAUGAAAAAGCUGACAGUGCACACAACUACCAUACUUACAAUCAUUGAUUUGCUUCCUGUUUGAGUGCCAUAAAACAUUUUUAAGAAAUGGAGGAAGAUAAAGGGCAGAGUGUUAAAACUACCAGUGCAGUGGGUGACCUGAGGAAAAGUUGGCAGACCUGGGCAGAGGAUCAGAUUGAGUAUCAGAGAAAGAAUCCAUUCAGCAACGAUGAGAGGCUUGCAUCUAAACCUGUGCAUACCCACAGAGGAGAUCCUGCCUAUGGGAGACCCCCUGAAGGGUCUAAAACAGAGCAGAGAGGGAAAGAUGCCCACUCACAUGUGGGGAAGGAAGUAGAAGAGCUGUGCUUGAUCAUAAGAAGCACUGGAGAGAAGGGAGAAGAUGGACAUGUGAGUGUGACAUUCCGGCAGCUGUUUGAAACAUACGUGACUAUUUCCAAUAAAGUAGUGGGGAUCUUGCUGAGAGCCAGAAAACACGGUCUGGUUCAUUUUGAAGGUGAAAUGCUUUGGCAAGGAAAAGAUGAUGAUGUGAUCAUCACUUUACUAGAAUAAGGCUUUGUCAUCUGAUAAAUUCUGCUGCAUGUUUCCAUUUGGAAAGAGCAUAUCAUGAUACCAUCUUGAAAGAGGUUUUCAUUACAGAAUUUCAACUCUGCUAAUUAAUGGAACAUGAGCAGAAGAGAAAAUUGUGAAAAGGUAAUCAGAAGAAGAGGAAAUAGAGGAGAAAAGAAGGUGCCAAAGCAAGCAUAUCUGAGGGACAGAGAAGCCAGAUAUAGCAUGGAAAGGGAAACAAAGGAUGGGUUUUAUCAUCACAUAAUUUUACCAUGUUGGAAACUGGGAGAUACGUGCUACACCAGAGACUGCGUUUAACACAUUUAAAAUGCUGUGUUUUUCAAAAAAAUCUAUUUCUUGCCAAAACGACAUGAGCACGCCCCAGCGGAUUUCAGUUCCCACUAGAUAAAGCCUGGGCACACUUUGUAUAAAGAUUUUAAAAUCAAUCUCAAGAUUGUUACGAUAAAGUUACAAGAUGUGGUUCGUUUAAUUUUAUCUUAAUUAUAGAUCCAGGUGAUUCUGCUGUAACACUAGUUCAUAACUUGCAGGAAGUAGUAUCAGGUAGUUCACGUAUCACUAACAGGACAACAGCCUCAGGAAAAAUAAUACUUUAUUCUCAGAAAGCACAUAGGAGGCUCAGGCUGCACACUGCCUCAACUAAGAUGCAAGUGCAGCUCCUGCAGACCUACAAGUUCUUAUUUAAAACUGGCUCAGAGAGUUAAACCACGGGAAUCUGGGCUUAAACUGCCAUGGGCAUAGUCAAUGAUGUUAGGUACUUAUAGAGUCCCUGCUGCACUUGCUCCAGCUACUGCUGGGUGCCUCUACAAUAGCUGUAAAAAUAACUGGGGUCCAUGUGCAAGAGCUGUAAACAUACCUCUGAUUAGUAUCAAAACACAGAAAAGCAGAGUAAGUCCUAAUGAAAUGGUCAUACCAACUUUGUAAGCCACUGUUAAAAGCUUGCCUAUCAUAUUUUGGGUAAGUCCAAGAAUUAUUACCAGAAGGAUGAUUUAUUUAGGGAUAGAUUUUUUAAAAAAUCAUCACAGGGCCAAAUUUCCUAUCGCCAGCUAUAGCUGAGGAUUCUGUAAAGAGUAAAUGCUAUCUUUCUGUCAUGCAUAUCCAUACAACUAUCAUAAAUACCAGAAAGUUGCCAAAUUGGGUCAAUUUACAGGUUGACAAAUCUGCUGCUUUCAGCAGUAGCUGUUAUUCCAAAAGAAGUCUAAAGGAUAAGUGCAAUUGAUCAGUCUGUCCACUGGGACACUCAAAAAUAAAAAUUACUCCCGAAGCCUGUACAGUCAGGUAUACAUCAUAUCUAGUGGACAAGACUGGACUUAGCUCCUAGCUUGCAAGCUAGGGAAAAUUCUGCUUUGUCAUCUGCAAUGUAGAAAAGACAUUGGCAACUGGAGAUAAAUCAGUUUUUAAAGCUUUAUGCAGUGGUCCACUAUUAAAGUAAAUGGAACAGCUAAUCUAAUACAUCAUUUUCAUGAGAAGUGUUAAGACGUGAGUUUGUGUUAGUACUACAGAUUAUUUGUAGUAGUAAGUAAACUUUGACCUUCUAAAAGGUGUUAUUGCCACAUCAAGACACUUUCAGCUCUUCAAAUCUCUCCUAAAUUUAUAGGAAGCUUAUCAGCUCCGUCAGUAGUCGUUCCUCUUCUUUCAGUUGAAGCUUGUCUAUUCUACAUCAGUUUUAGACUCUAUGAAUUGUACGGGAAUUAUCUGAAUUUUGUCUUGUGAAACACUGAAAAUGCUUUCAGCACUUCAAUAAAUAUUGCACAUCAGUUUGACAUGAAGCAAGUGAUUUUUUUUAUGCAGGGUUUUACUGUUUCCUACUAUGACAAAUUUCAAAUACGAUUUUCAUCAGUUUGUGCUCCCAUUUUUUGCUGUCAUUUGUUACUCAUGCUUAAGUAGACUUCUGAAUAGCCUGAAGAUCUGUUACCAACUUAAUCACACUGAAAAUGCUAUUCUUAGUUAAAUGCCUGAAGUUGCUUUUUUUUUUUCUUUUUUUUUAAACAUUUAACAGCAUUUCAUGUGUUAUCUUUUUCAUUCUUUCAAAAAGGGGCAAGCGGUACCUCACCAUAAAAGCAGUAUUCUCUGGACUUGCAUUAGGUUGGUACUUUAUGUAAAACAAUUGGGCAAAAGAGUACAAAUAAACCUUGAACAUGUAGUCAAAAAAGCUGCUUUUCUCAGGACUGCUAAUACGGGAUCAAAGAACAACAGACCCAUGGGUAGUGGCUAAGCAACUUUUCUCUGCUUCUCAGGCUCUUACACGCAUCCAAGAAUAAAAACUGCUGAGAGGCAGUAAGUUUACUCUCCAAGAAAAAGUCUUUUAACUACCUUUGUCCACUGGAAUGCUCCAGAAAAGAUGUUGGAAGUUUUAAAAUCGUAUUAUAAGGCUGCUGUAAUAGAGGGCAGACAUCAUUAAUGGAUUCUGCUGACUGCC